CUGUCAUUCAUUAGUAUGUUCUAACUUGUGCAUGUUAUGUGAUAUUUUGCAGAAGUUGAUCAACGGUUGAGAUACUGAGGGGAGAGAACUGGUGCAGAUAUUACUUGCAGCUGGAGCUGAUCCAUCUGCUCAAGAUUCACAGAAUGGGAGGACAGCUUUGCAUACUAGUGGACAAACAUAAAAAUGAGGUCCCAAAAGAAUAAAAAGGCAGAACAAAAGUGGGAAUAUGGAAUAUCAGCCGCGACAAGCAAGUGAGACUUCCCUGACUAAGUGAUAUUCAAUGGCUUGAUAAUUGAACAGAGAAGGUUUCUACAAAUGCUGCUUCAGCUGUAGUUAGCUUAUCCUUGAAUGAAGGGGAAGCUGAUUAGGAUGCAUAGUGAAGUUUGCAUUGUGCUAGAGGGGAGAGAACUGGUGCAGAUAUUGCUUGCAGCUGGAGCUGAUCCAUCUGCUCAAGAUUCACAGAAUGGGAGGACAACUUUGCAUACUAGUGGACAGGCAUAAAAAUGAGGUGAAGAAGCAUUAAUGUGGUCCCAAAAGAAUAAAAAGGCAGAACAAAAGUGGGGGAAUAUGGAAUAUCAGCCGCGACAAGCAAGCGUAAAACCACGGUAUCUCUGGCAUCUUAAUAUUGUUAAAGUUGAAUUUGGAUCCAACCCGGUCAGAAUUUUGAAUAUUGAGGUAAAUAAAGGUUUAUCUCUCGAGUUCAUCUUCUACUGAAAUUUAGAACUGAUUUUGAAUAUUGUAAAAUCCGUUCAUCUUCGUUGUAGCUAUUCAUCGCGAGUUCAUCAUCUCCCAUAAGGAUGCAGGAGGGUUGAAGCCACCGGAUUCAUUUUCGUUCACCACCUCUUCGGCGCCGCUGUUCUCGACGGUG
Non-coding RNA from Cajanus cajan (pigeon pea), 868 nucleotides. The record is from RefSeq and is a predicted model, not a curated record. NCBI's taxonomy places the organism in Eukaryota, Viridiplantae, Streptophyta, Magnoliopsida, Fabales, Fabaceae.